AUUGAACGCUGGCGGCAGGCCUAACACAUGCCAGUCGAGCGGAUGAAGGGAGCUUGCUCCUGGAUUCAGCGGCGGACGGGUGAGUAAUGCCUAGGAAUCUGCCUGGUAGUGGGGGAUAACGUCCGGAAACGGGCGCUAAUACCGCAUACGUCCUGAGGGAGAAAGUGGGGGAUCUUCGGACCUCACGCUAUCAGAUGAGCCUAGGUCGGAUUAGCUAGUUGGUGGGGUAAAGGCCUACCAAGGCGACGAUCCGUAACUGGUCUGAGAGGAUGAUCAGUCACACUGGAACUGAGACACGGUCCAGACUCCUACGGGAGGCAGCAGUGGGGAAUAAUGGACAAUGGGCGAAAGCCUGAUCCAGCCAUGCCGCGUGUGUGAAGAAGGUCUUCGGAUUGUAAAGCACUUUAAGUUGGGAGGAAGGGCAGUAAGUUAAUACCUUGCUGUUUUGACGUUACCAACAGAAUAAGCACCGGCUAACUUCGUG
Molecule: ribosomal RNA, 484 nt
Filed under: uncultured bacterium
Lineage: Bacteria
Description: partial 16S ribosomal RNA
Rfam family: Bacterial small subunit ribosomal RNA
Source: RNAcentral